RNAcentral lists this long non-coding RNA (1217 nucleotides) under Numida meleagris (helmeted guineafowl). Its description in RNAcentral is "lncRNA (ENSNMEG00000009062.1)". Lineage: Eukaryota; Metazoa; Chordata; Aves; Galliformes; Numididae. The record is from RNAcentral.
AAAUACAGAUUUGAGUGACCAGUGCCACGGAAGGAAAUGCAUCGAGUGCAGGCAACAAGACUCACUGCACGUGAAGGGGUCAACACCAAGAGAAUAAGGGGUUGAAAAGCUAUGCUCAGGUUGUUGCCUCAAACCACUGACCCAGGGCACCAUACAAGCCACCAGCACAACGGGUGUCCAAGAGAAAUGUCAAUCUGCAACGCAGCGCUGACCAGUAGCCAAAAAUUACCCCAAAAUAAAAUAUUAUCUCAGCACAUUGCUGUCUGUACUGGCAGAAGAGCAACCCAGCGGGAGACAAGCGCUCAGCACAUCCCUAAAACAAGGCUCCUGUUUGAAGUGCACGGAUCAAGGCUGGAUUAGGAGAGCCCGGUAGGAGCCUCCAGCUCUGCUCCCACGCUGAAAGGCAGCUCAGCAGCGACUUCACAUGCAAGGUUGGGCUGGAUUCUGGGAAGGAGUAAUUGCAGAGCGUGUGCUCCGCUUGUCUAUGGAAGGGAAGGCAGAGCUGCCUCGUCCUGGCUGCAGGAGCACCCAGCACUGCUCUACCUCCGUUGCAUGAGGACUCAGGCAGAAUGCCACAGUGCAGAUGAAGACCAACAGCAAACGCAGCAAAAAAUGCCACCAUCUGCCUGGCCAGACAGAUCCCAGAAACACAUCUGUGCCUUUAGACAAGCUUAAAGAAUCACUUCUCAAGUUUCCCUCCAGUCAACAGCUUAUUUCCCCCCUCCAAUCCAAGCAACAAACAGGGUUAGUUCAAUUCAAGCAGGCAAGAGAGGAUGAGAGCUCGGCAGCAGCCCCUACCUGUGGGUGCAUCCUUCCCUCCUCACCGCGCAGCCAGGAGCACGCCGCUCUCCUCUGGUAUCUCUCCAGCAUCCUGUGUUGAAGAACUGCAGGACCGACCCCUCGCGCUCAGGCCGCUCCCACCAAUGAGCAGCGCUGCCCUGGUCUCCUGGGGGAUGCAGCACGCUGCCAACCAUCUCUGCAGCCCUUCUCAGUGUCUUAACUUAUUUACCCAAAUAGUGGAAAAACAACUCAAGUGGAGCCAGACACUCUCCAGCAACAUGACGGCAACUGGUUUCUUUAGUUUAGUUCCCCCGCGAGCUAGGGAAGUAGCUUGGUCCUGAUGGUUAUUAAUUGAAAAGGAGGGAAGGCUGAGUAAAGUAGAAGGGAGAUUUCCUACAACGUGAACAAUAAAGUGCUCCUCAUCGCUGUUCCUUGCA